Molecule: ribosomal RNA, 253 nt
Filed under: uncultured bacterium
Lineage: Bacteria
Description: partial 16S ribosomal RNA
Rfam family: Bacterial small subunit ribosomal RNA
Source: RNAcentral
UACGAAGGGGGCUAGCGUUGCUCGGAAUCACUGGGCGUAAAGGGUGCGUAGGCGGGUUUUUAAGUCAGAGGUGAAAUCCUGGAGCUCAACUCCAGAACUGCCUUUGAUACUGAGAAUCUUGAGUAUGGGAGAGGUGAGUGGAACUGCGAGUGUAGAGGUGAAAUUCGUAGAUAUUCGCAAGGACACCAGUGGCGAAGGCGGCUCACUGGCCCAUAACUGACGCUGAGGCACGAAAGCGUGGGGAGCAAACAGG